RNAcentral lists this ribosomal RNA (253 nucleotides) under uncultured bacterium. Its description in RNAcentral is "partial 16S ribosomal RNA". It matches the Rfam family "Bacterial small subunit ribosomal RNA", at positions 524 to 776 of the family's 1533-position model. The record is from RNAcentral.
GACGAACCGUGCGAACGUUGUUCGGAAUCACUGGGCUUAAAGGGCGCGUAGGCGGUUUGCCAAGUCAGGGGUGAAAUCCUGCAGCUCAACUGUAGAAGUGCCUCUGAUACUGGCGAACUCGAGGGAGGUAGGGGUGGGUGGAACUUAUGGUGGAGCGGUGAAAUGCGUUGAUAUCAUAAGGAACGCCGGUGGCGAAAGCGACCCACUGGAUCUCUUCUGACGCUGAGGCGCGAAAGCUAGGGGAGCAAACGGG